RNAcentral lists this ribosomal RNA (509 nucleotides) under uncultured bacterium. RNAcentral describes it as "partial 16S ribosomal RNA". It matches the Rfam family "Bacterial small subunit ribosomal RNA", at positions 28 to 523 of the family's 1533-position model. The record is from RNAcentral.
GACGAACGCUGGCGGCGCGCUUAACACAUGCAAGUCGAGCGAGAACCGGGCCUUCGGGCCUGGGGACAGCGGCGAACGGGUGAGUAACACGUGGGUAACCUGCCCUCGGCACCGGGAUAGCUCGGGGAAACCCGGAUUAAUACCGGACGGUCUCCGGAGCCUUCGGGCGCCGGAGAAAGGGUGGCUUCGGCUUCCGGCCGGGGGUGGGCCGGCGGCGGAUUAGCUUGUUGGCGGGGUAACGGCCCACCAAGGCGACGAUCCGUAGCUGGUCUGAGAGGACGAUCAGCCACACUGGGACUGAGACACGGCCCAGACUCCUACGGGAGGCAGCAGUGGGGAAUUCUGGACAAUGGGCGAAAGCCUGAUCCAGCCAUGCCGCGUGCAGGAUGAAGGCCUUCGGGUUGUAAACUGCUUUUGUACGGAACGAAAAGGUUUGGCCUAAUAAGCUGAGCUCGUGACGGUACCGUAAGAAUAAGCACCGGCUAACUACGUGCCAGCAGCCGCCGUAA